Molecule: long non-coding RNA, 250 nt
Filed under: Capsicum annuum
Lineage: Eukaryota; Viridiplantae; Streptophyta; Magnoliopsida; Solanales; Solanaceae
Description: long non-coding RNA (CANN_LNC010311)
Source: RNAcentral
ACCAUUGGGAAAUCCUCGGCUUCGAAACUCUUUUAAAUCACAUUAACAAACAAUCAACUCAAACCAUUUAAAAUCUAACAUCAAUCUCUAGCUAGUUACGAAGACACGAUUAACAUCAGCAACGAAACAUCUUUAAGUGCUAUACAAACUGGGCUAAGUCAUAGGGAAAAAGAAUGAAAACAAAAGCAACCACUUGAGUUAUAUCACAUUUAGACGGGUAAAGUCACGAAAAUCAAAUCCCUCAAUGCAU